Lingula anatina is the source of this 233-nucleotide long non-coding RNA. Lineage: Eukaryota; Metazoa; Brachiopoda; Lingulata; Lingulida; Lingulidae. The record is from RefSeq and is a predicted model, not a curated record.
ACACACACAUUUCCAACCACGUCAGUAUUCAGCAGAAAGAGUGUGGUGGACUAACAUUAUAUACUUUCCCUCAGCUCGAGGAAGACAGUACCAGGGACACUCAGGAAGUUGACGCUAGAUGGCAGCGUUGAUGUUUGUGACAAAAUGAUAGAUGCAGAUGUGUUGAAUCCAUUGUUUGCUCUGCAAAAAGAAGGACCAUUCAGAAUGAGAAGAGCAGAGUGCUAGCUAGGCCA